GCGGCAGUGCUGGAACUGGCAGACAGGCACGUUUGAGGGGCGUGUGUCAACCGACGUACGGGUUCAAGUCCCGUUUGCCGCACCA
RNAcentral lists this transfer RNA (85 nucleotides) under Oscillospiraceae bacterium. RNAcentral describes it as "tRNA-Leu". It matches the Rfam family "tRNA". From Rfam's summary of the family: Transfer RNA (tRNA) molecules are approximately 80 nucleotides in length. Their secondary structure includes four short double-helical elements and three loops (D, anti-codon, and T loops). The record is from RNAcentral. Lineage: Bacteria; Bacillati; Bacillota; Clostridia; Eubacteriales; Oscillospiraceae.